This 497-nucleotide ribosomal RNA is filed under the name uncultured bacterium. Its description in RNAcentral is "partial 16S ribosomal RNA". It matches the Rfam family "Bacterial small subunit ribosomal RNA", at positions 28 to 507 of the family's 1533-position model. The record is from RNAcentral.
GAUGAACGCUGGCGGCGUGCCUAAUACAUGCAAGUCGAGCGAACAGACGAGGAGCUUGCUCCUCUGACGUUAGCGGCGGACGGGUGAGUAACACGUGGAUAACCUACCUAUAAGACUGGGAUAACUUCGGGAAACCGGAGCUAAUACCGGAUAAUAUAUUGAACCGCAUGGUUCAAUAGUGAAAGACGGUUUUGCUGUCACUUAUAGAUGGAUCCGCGCCGCAUUAGCUAGUUGGUAAGGUAACGGCUUACCAAGGCAACGAUGCGUAGCCGACCUGAGAGGGUGAUCGGCCACACUGGAACUGAGACACGGUCCAGUCUCCUACGGGAGGCAGCAGUAGGGAAUCUUCCGCAAUGGGCGAAAGCCUGACGGAGCAACGCCGCGUGAGUGAUGAAGGUCUUCGGAUCGUGAAACUCUGUUAUUAGGGAAGAACAAAUGUGUAAGUAACUAUGCACGUCUUGACGGUACCUAAUCAGAAAGCCACGGCUAACUACGUG